Molecule: long non-coding RNA, 1857 nt
Filed under: Nicotiana benthamiana
Lineage: Eukaryota; Viridiplantae; Streptophyta; Magnoliopsida; Solanales; Solanaceae
Description: long non-coding RNA (NBEN_LNC007570)
Source: RNAcentral
GAAUUUAGAAGCUGCAAAUGUUUAUGUGGAGCUCCAUUAAGUGUAUUGUACACAUUUCAAGGUUUUCCAAUGCAUCUUACAGGACAGCAAAACUAUCAGGUUGUGUUCAAGCUAUGAAAAUUGUUGUGUAGAAUAUGUGAAACUGCUACUCCUAUUUUAAGACUGUUCUUUAUUUGAUAUACACCAUACUGAUAAUACUAAGCUCCUAAAUUGCUUGGAAGAAUAUCCUUGUACCUGCUGUGCUUCCUGCCAAUUACCAUGCAAUAGGUCCUUGAAACCUAAGUGGACGUGGAGAAAGUAUUUGCAACUUGCUCAGUCUUAUUCCCCAUUCUGCUUCAGUUACCCAUUUGUUUCUUACCUUUCUCCCUUUCAAAAUCUUUCUUUAAUGAUCCUUGUACCUGCUGUGCUUCCUGCCAAUUACCAUGCAAUAGGUCCUUGAAACCUAAGUGGACGUGGAGAAAGUAUUUGCAACUUGCUCAGUCUUAUUCCCCAUUCUGCUUCAGUUACCCAUUUGUUUCUUACCUUUCUCCCUUUCAAAAUCUUUCUUUAAUGAUCCCUGUGCUGAAUCAUUCUUCCAUCUGAAUGCAAGAUGUUUGCAAUCGGACAGUGUAUUUUAUCAACGGUAUCCUGACAGACACUGUACCUAUAUAGUCGAUUCAUAAGGAUGCUGAAAUGUUUGAUUUAUAAUCUAUUUAUCAUAUAUUGAUUGACAAUAGGAUGCCUCAGCCAUCUGGUUUUCUUCAUGUUUCUUGUCAGUUUGUUUCAAGUAAGCUACACACAGAAAUCAAACUUCAGGAGUUUACCAACUAUUAUUGCUUAAUUCUUGAGAAAUUGGAAUAUGUGCUUGACGGAAUUUCUGGAUAAAGAGUUUUGUAAAUUCAACUAUAUAUUAGAAGUGAGAAGGACAAGAAUUAAAUAAACUGAGUAUUGAUAAAAGAAGAUUGUGCCCCAGAGCCCUAAUAGUUAGAGCGUAACACAUGAUGUGUAGGUUAGGCGCACGCAGUUUGAGCCCUGCCGCAAAUAGAAGCUUGGUAUUUAAGUGGAGAAGGGUUGAGCGCCAAGCCCAUUAUCCGCCGAGUUCAGAACCGCGCCCCACUAUCUCCCGAGGAUAUCUUUAUCUUUUCUUUUUUUUUUUCAAAAAAGAGUUAAUAAGAGGAGAUUUUACUGUAUGUCUGUGCACAUGUGUACAGUCUGAUGUAUUAUUUGGAUGGUGGACUUGUCCCACUUAAGAAGAUCUUUUUCAUUAACCUAGAAUUGUUAUGUGUGUGUCUCGGCUAAUAAAAAAAAUAUUUGUGUUUUUUUUAACCUCUUUAAUUGCCAUAUUGCGUAACCAAUACUCCAUUUUGUUCCUGUCAUCUAUGAUCUCAUUACAAGCUGUUUCUAUUAUUUUUUGCCUCGUUUUCUCUAGCCUCUAACUCCAUAGAGACUGGAAAGUAAAUAAAAUAUAUUAUUGAUUGCUGCUGAUAAUUUCUUGGGAAUCCUAAUGUUAACACUCUUAAAGUAUUCAUCAUGUGUAUCUGCCAUCAUUGAGAUGCCCCCAGUACUACUUGGUACACAACCCAAAUGUUAUUGGCAUAUUUUGUCUUUUAUCACAUGGUAACCAUUCGUUUUGAUCAAGAUGUUCUGUUUUGCAGGUUGAAGCAGCUGUUUCUGAGAGGGAGAAGCUAUUGCUGGUCAAAAUAUCUGAGCUUCAGGCUAGGUUAGCCCGCUGCAGAGACAAAUCAACUGUGGUCAUGCUUCUCUCAGUUCUAUAUACUAUUUUUAAUUGAAGAACUGAUCUUCUCUCUACUUUGCAGGAUGAUUAAUUUGACAGAUGAAUUAACUGCAGAAAAAUUAAAAUACUGGCAGGUAAGUGCA